AUCUCAAGACAAAUAAUAACAAGCAAAUAAACAAGGAAACAUGUAUUAGGAAAUGAUUGAAUAUAAAAUUGACUUUCAAUUAACAAUCUAUGCUUUAUUCAGGAUAUGAACAUGGACAUCAAAACAUGAAAAGUUAUCCAAGCCCAAGUUUUGGUUCAAUCUUAGUCACUUUGUAACUAGAAAAGCAAUUAACUAUUAAAAAUAAAAUGCAUAUUUAGAUGAAUGAGAUGUGGUUUAAAACUCAAGCAUACAUGCCAACGUCAACAAGUCAUAAAUCCAAACUAAACUUGAGAAUUCCAAACAUAUCAG
This 309-nucleotide unclassified non-coding RNA is filed under the name Hevea brasiliensis (rubber tree). The record is from RNAcentral. Lineage: Eukaryota; Viridiplantae; Streptophyta; Magnoliopsida; Malpighiales; Euphorbiaceae.